RNAcentral lists this ribosomal RNA (1491 nucleotides) under metagenome. RNAcentral describes it as "bacterial SSU rRNA". It matches the Rfam family "Bacterial small subunit ribosomal RNA". The record is from RNAcentral.
AGAGUUUGAUCCUGGCUCAGAUUGAACGCUGGCGGCAUGCCUUACACAUGCAAGUCGAACGGCAGCACGGGAGCUUGCUCCUGGUGGCGAGUGGCGAACGGGUGAGUAAUAUAUCGGAACGUACCCUAGAGUGGGGGAUAACGUAGCGAAAGUUACGCUAAUACCGCAUACGAUCUACGGAUGAAAGUGGGGGAUCGCAAGACCUCAUGCUCAUGGAGCGGCCGAUAUCUGAUUAGCUAGUUGGUGGGGUAAAAGCUCACCAAGGCGACGAUCAGUAGCUGGUCUGAGAGGACGACCAGCCACACUGGAACUGAGACACGGUGCAGACUCCUACGGGAGGCAGCAGUGGGGAAUUUUGGACAAUGGGCGCAAGCCUGAUCCAGCAAUGCCGCGUGAGUGAAGAAGGCCUUCGGGUUGUAAAGCUCUUUUGUCAGGGAAGAAACGGUUCGGGCUAAUACCCUGGGCCAAUGACGGUACCUGAAGAAUAAGCACCGGCUAACUACGUGCCAGCAGCCGCGGUAAUACGUAGGGUGCAAGCGUUAAUCGGAAUUAUUGGGCGUAAAGCGUGCGCAGGCGGUUGUGCAAGACAGAUGUGAAAUCCCCGGGCUCAACCUGGGAAUUGCAUUUGUGACUGCACGGCUAGAGUGUGUCAGAGGGGGGUAGAAUUCCACGUGUAGCAGUGAAAUGCGUAGAGAUGUGGAGGAAUACCGAUGGCGAAGGCAGCCCCCUGGGAUAACACUGACGCUCAUGCACGAAAGCGUGGGGAGCAAACAGGAUUAGAUACCCUGGUAGUCCACGCCCUAAACGAUGUCUACUAGUUGUCGGGUCUUAAUUGACUUGGUAACGCAGCUAACGCGUGAAGUAGACCGCCUGGGGAGUACGGUCGCAAGAUUAAAACUCAAAGGAAUUGACGGGGACCCGCACAAGCGGUGGAUGAUGUGGAUUAAUUCGAUGCAACGCGAAAAACCUUACCUACCCUUGACAUGUCUGGAAUCCUUGAGAGAUCAGGGAGUGCUCGAAAGAGAAUCAGAACACAGGUGCUGCAUGGCUGUCGUCAGCUCGUGUCGUGAGAUGUUGGGUUAAGUCCCGCAACGAGCGCAACCCUUGUCAUUAGUUGCUACGAAAGGGCACUCUAAUGAGACUGCCGGUGACAAACCGGAGGAAGGUGGGGAUGACGUCAAGUCCUCAUGGCCCUUAUGGGUAGGGCUUCACACGUCAUACAAUGGUACAUACAGAGGGCCGCCAACCCGCGAGGGGGAGCUAAUCCCAGAAAGUGUAUCGUAGUCCGGAUUGUAGUCUGCAACUCGACUACAUGAAGUUGGAAUCGCUAGUAAUCGCGGAUCAGCAUGUCGCGGUGAAUACGUUCCCGGGUCUUGUACACACCGCCCGUCACACCAUGGGAGCGGGUUUCACCAGAAGUGGGUAGCCUAACCGCAAGGAGGGCGCUCACCACGGUGGGAUUCGUGACUGGGGUGAAGUCGUAACAAGGUA